GGGGGAUUAGCUCAAAUGGUAGAGCGCUCGCUUAGCAUGCGAGAGGUAGCGGGAUCAAUGCCUGCAUCCUCCA
This 73-nucleotide transfer RNA is filed under the name Albula glossodonta (roundjaw bonefish). It matches the Rfam family "tRNA". Rfam says of the family: Transfer RNA (tRNA) molecules are approximately 80 nucleotides in length. Their secondary structure includes four short double-helical elements and three loops (D, anti-codon, and T loops). RNAcentral also lists the same sequence under 1 other name. Lineage: Eukaryota; Metazoa; Chordata; Actinopteri; Albuliformes; Albulidae. The record is from Rfam by way of RNAcentral.